CAGUCGCCGCGGUAAUACGAGGGGUGCAAGCGUUAUUCGGGUUGAUUGGGUGUAAAGGGUGUGCAGACGGCUUAUUAAGUCACUUGUUAAAUUCUUCGGCCUAACUGAAGGUCUGCAAGUGAUACUGAUGAGCUAGAGGGUGGAAGAGAGAAGUGGAAUUCUCGGAGUAGCGGUAAAAUGCGUAGAUCUCGAGAGGAACACCAAUGGCGAAGGCAGCUUCUUGGUCCAUUCCUGACGUUCAUACACGAAAGCGUGGGGAGCAAACAGGAUUAGAUACCCGCGUAGUCCCUGUCUCUUAUAC
Molecule: ribosomal RNA, 301 nt
Filed under: uncultured bacterium
Lineage: Bacteria
Description: partial 16S ribosomal RNA
Rfam family: Bacterial small subunit ribosomal RNA
Source: RNAcentral